UCCCUGGUGGCUCAGACGGUGAAGCAUCUGCCUAAAAUGCAGGAGAUCCGGGUUUGAUUCCUGGGUUGGGAA
This 72-nucleotide transfer RNA is filed under the name Bos taurus (domestic cattle). It matches the Rfam family "tRNA". From Rfam's summary of the family: Transfer RNA (tRNA) molecules are approximately 80 nucleotides in length. Their secondary structure includes four short double-helical elements and three loops (D, anti-codon, and T loops). Lineage: Eukaryota; Metazoa; Chordata; Mammalia; Artiodactyla; Bovidae. RNAcentral also lists the same sequence under 5 other names. The record is from Rfam by way of RNAcentral.